Molecule: long non-coding RNA, 805 nt
Filed under: Homo sapiens (human)
Lineage: Eukaryota; Metazoa; Chordata; Mammalia; Primates; Hominidae
Description: non-protein coding lnc-C6orf201-20:1
Source: RNAcentral
CUUUUCGAGUACUUGUGGGUUCAUCAGUCAAAUUCACAGUGACGGAUGGUGAACAUAGCUCAGGGAAAACAGGAGGCGUUUUAUAAAGAUGAGAGCCUGCAUAGAUCCCGCCUCAUCCCCUUCCCUUCCUGCAUGUCCCGUCCACCUCCUCUCCCCAGGCAGGAUGGAGACACCAAGAGACCUCCAGAUCCCCAUCGGGUAAACCCACCGAGUUGGACUCUGAUAGUUGACUGUCACAUAAGCAGACUGCCUGAUGUACCAUGCCCUGUUCUCUAAGCUCUCUGACAUAUUUAGUGGGUGUUGAUGUCUCUGCUUUGAUGGAGAGGAAACUGACCCCACUGUGAGUUGUUGGCUUGUCCAAGGUCAAACCUUACACAGCCCCUAACUGUUGAGGUCAGAGAAGGGAACUGAUUCUAGGUAUAGCAUAUUGCAAAUACUAGAAUCCACCUUGACCUGCCCACUCAGGUGCCCUGGAGUAUUUGAAGAAGAUGACUUCAGGUUUGUUUGAACUUAAAGUGCUAUAGCACCAAAUGCUAUUACAAUUUAGGACAUAAGCAAUUUUUGUAUGAAACAUAUCAUUCUCACUCUUAGUUCUCCGGAGUCAGAAGGAACUAAGAAAGGUUUACCUGGAGGUCAGCAAGAGCAGAGUGGGUGGAAAGCCAAUGAUCGGACAAUCAAAUGGGGUCAUGGAGCCAGCAGGAAUGAAGCAACUGGUGUCCAGUAGAGAAGAGGGAGAGAAACCUCGAGGUCUUAAUUGAUAGCUUGAGACCAGGCAUUCAAGACCAGCCUGGGCAACCCUGUCUCU